CUCGUCAACCACAACCCCCCCAAUCGCCACGACUGGCACGCCCCUCCUCCCCCCAAUCUCCCGAGCCUUCUUUCUCGUCCCCAAUCGCGUCCCAAACCCUCCCACCCACCCUGCGCGGAUCGAUCCCCCACCGACUGCGCAGUGGCAGCCGCAGCCGCGUCCCCGUCUUCCUCCCCGCCGAUUCGGCCGAGCGAUCGCGGCAGCCCUCGUCCACCCAUGCUUCCCCGGGCGGCUGCGGACGAGAUAUGAGCCGGCGGGGAAUCGACGGAGCCGCCGACGCCGCCCGCCAUGGACCCCUCCGAGCGCCCCGCCGUCGUAUUCGACAACGGCACAGGCAAACUUGGGUUUGCUGGUAACUCCGAGCCGUCUUUCACCAUCCCUACUGUAGUAGCUGUGAAUGAAUCUUUCUUGGACCAAUCAGAGCAGUGCAGUAGUGCAAAUUGGCUAGCACAGUAUAAUGCAGGUGUCAUGGCUGAUCUUGAUUUUUUUAUCGGGGAUGAGGCUCUGUCACAUUUUAAAACUAGUGGCCUGUACAGUUUAAGAAGCCCAAUUCGUCAUGGUCAGGUGAAUGACUGGGAUACAAUGGAGAGAUUUUGGCAGCAAUCCAUUUUCAAUUAUCUACGGUGCAAUCCUGAGGAACACUACUUCCUACUUACAGAUAGCCCUGUCAGUACGCCGGAAAGUCGUGAAUGUAUGGGAGAAAUUAUGUUUGAGACCUUUAAUGUCCCUGGUCUAUAUAUUUCUGUGCAAUCUGUGCUCAGCCUUUCUGCUGGAUUUGCAUAUCUGAAAACUCUUUCUGAAGAGGAUUCAGAAGAUUCUGUGUCUGAUAUGACAGGUGUAGUAGUUGACAUUGGGGAUGGAGCUCCACAUAUUGUGCCAGUUGUAAACGGCUAUGUAAUUGGGAGUAGCAUAAAGUCUUUUCCUCUUUCGGGAAGUGAUGUAACUCAGUUUGUUAUGCAGCUCUUACAGGAAAGGGGUGAGCUUCUUCCACCUGAUGAUGCUUUGGAUAUAGCUCGUAGGGUGAAAGAAACGUAUUGCUAUACUCCUUCAGACAUUGUCAAGGAGUUCAAGAAGCAUGACAGCAAGCCUAGUAAAUAUAUCAAACAAUGGUCUGCAAUCAAACCGAAGACUGGGAUUCCAUACACAAUUGACAUUGGAUAUGAGCGUUUUCUUGGACCAGAGAUCUUCUUCCAUCCUGAGAUGUACUCUGCUGACUUCUCCACUCCUUUACCUGAACUGAUUGACAGCUGUGUUCAAUCUGCGCCAAUUGACACAAGGAGAGCUUUGUAUAAGAACAUAGUAUUAUCUGGUGGAACUACCAUGUUUAAAGACUUCCACAAGAGACUCCAAAAUAAUAUAAAGAAGAUAGUAGACGAACGUGUUGCCGAAACUAAUGCACAUCAUCAUGUGGAGGUGAAACCUGUUGAGGUCAACGUAGUCACCCAUCCUAUACAGAGCUACGCAGUUUGGUUCGGGGGUUCUGUAGCUGCAUCCAGCCAUGAAUUCUUCGAGUGUUGCCACACAAAGGAAGAUUACGAGGAGCAUGGAGCAAGCAUCUGCCGAACAAGCACCGUUUUCAAAGGAAUGUACUGAAGUUUUGACGUAUCCGACAUUUUAUGUAGGAGCUCUACUAGGUUUCUCCAAAUAGAAUAGAGUCAAAAUUGAUUCUCCUUUUGGCUCGUCUCAACCAUCACUGGGCCGAUAGAUUUGUAGCUCAAUAUGUAGCUCUCUCUGUUCUGUACGACAUGUUGUGUAUAGUCAGCAAUUUUCUUCCUGUUCCAGGUGCAUGUUUGUUUGUAGCCAGUUGUGGUCGUAAGCAGAGAGAUGUUUUCCCCUUGUAUUCUUGUUUCAUCUAGAUAGAGGGUUUGCCGAAAGAGUUUUGCUAUGUAUAGGUCUGUGUCUAACGCUAUUUUGUUUCCCUUUUACUAUUUUGUGCUACGGAUCCGGAGAAAUGCGAGACUGCCACGGGUGCUCAAUAUCUGCU
RNAcentral lists this ribosomal RNA (1984 nucleotides) under Triticum aestivum (bread wheat). RNAcentral describes it as "partial small subunit ribosomal RNA". Lineage: Eukaryota; Viridiplantae; Streptophyta; Magnoliopsida; Poales; Poaceae. The record is from RNAcentral.